This 1604-nucleotide long non-coding RNA is filed under the name Sus scrofa (pig). Its description in RNAcentral is "lncRNA (ENSSSCG00015037062.1)". The record is from RNAcentral. Lineage: Eukaryota; Metazoa; Chordata; Mammalia; Artiodactyla; Suidae.
UAUGCCACGGGAGCGGCCCAAGAAAUCAAGAAAUGGCAAAAGCACCAAAAAAAAAAAAAAACCUUUCUACAUCACCCCCACCCCCGGCUUCUGCGUUUCGAGCACACUAUCAAAGAAAGCUGACUUUCCAGUAUACCUGCUCAAGCGUAGUCUCGGUGGUGACUGCAGUCUGGAUGGAGCUGCUCGGAACCUCCACCCAAAUCCAGUGUCCAGACCCCGGUCAGCCCGUGGGUACAGGCAGUAGAUGUGGGUGAAGUGAAGAGAAUACUGGGGUCAUUCAUCAAGAGAAAUAAAUCCUGGAAUGAAGGCCAAAGGGUUAGACAUUUUCUUUGAGGGCUCCCUUCUGCCAAAGGCAAAACCUCUUUGAACACCUCUGGAGAUUUCCUUGGAGAAGCUGCAUCAGCAAAACAGUCCCCACACUGUGCCUGGGGGCAAAGCCCCUGCAGCAUGAGUGCCCUCCUCUGCAGCAGAUGGCAUGGAGGAUCCCGUCCUUCCUGCGGCCCGAGGUCUAAGUCCUGGGAAAGAGUGUGGAAAACAGACCUUUUUUAAAGUUGUAUUUUAGUGUCUUCCAUGGGGUCUGGGGAAACCCAGACGUAAACAGACAAAAUCCCAGCUGCUGGGAAGGAAGACGCUGAGCCCACCUGCCUGGCGCUACCCCCACCCCGCAGGGCCCUAGGCCUUUCCACAGAGCCUUUUCCCAUUUCCAUGGAGCCAGAACCCUUUCUUUGUUCACCUGGUCAUUCAGCACAUACCUCUUCUGCACCCAGCAUGACUCCAGGCCUGGGGAGGCCACGGUGGAGGAGAGCAGAGCGGGGCUUGGUUGUUCUGGAGCCCCAGCCGAGUAAGAGCCACCGGCAGAUAAGUGCCAGGGAAGAGGGGCCGGAGGUCAGGGAGGGCGUCUCUGCGAAGGUGAGCCAGGACCCAUGUCUGAAGGGGGAGCAGAAGUAAAUUUGACAUCAUGGAAGGGCCGGGACAGAGGCCCCCAGGGAGGAAGGAAGGAUGUUUACUGGGUGCUUCCAGGAGUUAAAUUGUCCUAAGCCAUGUGCUGGGAUUGUCUGAUGGAAUGGUCUUCAUCCUGUGUGGCAGUUCCUGCUUUCCAGAUGGGGGAAAAGGGGGUACAGCAGUGGGUUCCCCAGCUAAGGAUGAUGGAGCCGGGCUUUGAAGCCAUCUUCCCGCACAGCCUGCACCCUGGGCCACCUCCCUGCUCUGCCUCCCAGUGUGAACCUAGCAGGACCAGUGGGCUGCAGACUGUGCUGUAAGAGGCAGCCACUUGCCAGGAUCAGAGAGAGUGGGUCCCUCAGUUCCCUCCCACGCUGAGAGGGGGCUGCUGUGAAGAUGGAUUUUCUAGAGUCCUCCACCCAUGGGAAAGAGGCUGGGGCUCAGGGUGGGACAGACCCACCGAGCACAGGAGCCUUUGUCUCUCAGGCAGGGGAGCAGCAGAAUGGAAGCGGACAAGGGCCAGCACCGGUCCAGGCAUCACCCAGUGCAGCACAGAGCCUGACUCACCUGGACAGCAGGGCAUGCGCCAGCAUUUGUUUGUCCUCUGACAGUCACUUCUUGAGUAAUACUGAGUUCAUCUGCCCUGAUUGUACAUGUUGUUUAUG